CCUACGGGAGGCAGCAGUAGGGAAUCUUCCGCAAUGGACGAAAGUCCGACGGAGCAACGCCGCGUGAGUGAUGAAGGUUUUCGGAUCGUAAAGCUCUGCGCCAGGGAAGAACGCUAGGGAGAGUAACUGCUCUCAAGGUGACGGUACCGAGAA
RNAcentral lists this ribosomal RNA (153 nucleotides) under bacterium SM4.1-S.47. Its description in RNAcentral is "partial 16S ribosomal RNA". It matches the Rfam family "Bacterial small subunit ribosomal RNA", at positions 338 to 484 of the family's 1533-position model. The record is from RNAcentral.